This 518-nucleotide ribosomal RNA is filed under the name uncultured archaeon. Its description in RNAcentral is "partial 16S ribosomal RNA". It matches the Rfam family "Archaeal small subunit ribosomal RNA", at positions 330 to 834 of the family's 1478-position model. The record is from RNAcentral.
GUGCAGCAGGCGCGAAACCUUUACAAUGCACGAAAGUGUGAUAAGGGGACNCUCAGUGCUCAUAUUUAUCNUGGGCUUUUGCCAAGCGUAAAUAUCAUUGUGNGAAUAAGUGGUGGGCAAGACCCGUGCCCAGCCGCCGCGGUAACACCAGGCGCCACAAGUGGCAAAUCACGUUUAUUGGGNCUAAAGCGUCCGUAGNCGGUUUGGUAAAUCUCUUUGUGAAAAUCGUCGCAGCUUAACCNGUUCGGCNUGCNNGNGACACUGUCAGACUUGAGACCGGGAGGAGGUAAGAGGUAUUCCAAGGGUAGUAGUAAAAUCUUAUAAUCCCNGGUGGACCACCAAUGGCGAAGGCAUCUUACCAGAACGGAUCUGACGGUGAGGGACGAAAGCNAGGGGNGCGAUCCGGAUUAGAUACCCGAGUAGUCCNAGCCGUAAACGCUGUNNGCUAGGUGUUAGCUCUCCNUACGACCGACUUGCAGUGUCGNAAGNGAAGCCGUUAAAGCUACGCCGCCUGGAAG